This is a non-coding RNA of Microcebus murinus (gray mouse lemur), 2835 nucleotides long. The record is from RefSeq and is a predicted model, not a curated record. NCBI's taxonomy places the organism in Eukaryota, Metazoa, Chordata, Mammalia, Primates, Cheirogaleidae.
AGACUGUCUCAAAAAAAAAAAAAAGCAAAAGGCAUCUAAAGAAUUAGCCUUUUUAUUCUUUUGUAUAGUCACCUUCCUGCCAUGCUUAACAGCACCUCAGUUGGCACUCUAGUUUUUAAUCUUACUUCCUGGCUCUGAAUAUGCAGUCUGAGAUGUUAGCAGUCCACAUGUAACUUGCCUUCAGCUGAAGUUCUCAGUGGUCCAAUGCUGGAGUUUAUUCAAAUAGAAAACCCCAGAAAUUUAGAUCGGUAGGUCACUAGUACAUAUUAUCAUGUGGGUACCUACCUUCUCAUAAGAGUAGAAUGAGGCAGUUUGGAUGCAGUAUAGCUAUAACGAGCUCUCUAUUAUUCUGUGUAUUCUGGCCUCUAACUAGAAAGGAAAGCUAAAUCAGAAGCCUACAUUUAACUGUGUGAACAUGGAGGGAUUUAGUGUUCUGAUGGAUGAUUAACAGAACAGCUAGAUGCUUAGAGCAUGACGUAGGAGGAGUUUGGUUUACAGCUGCUGCCUUUUCAUAGUGGGCUUAACAGUUUUUCAUUAGAUGUGUUUUUCAGGUUGGGGAAUAGCAAUUUAUUUUCUUGGUUUUAGACUUUGUCAAGCUAAUUAGCUCCCCUUUAGACAAGUACAUUUUGCACAUGUGCACCAACUUGUACUCUCAGAUACUUAUGCACAGAAGUGUGAAGGUUUUCCAGGGAGCAGAGGAUCUGGGACAGGCUCAUUCUGAGCUAACCAGGGCUCCUUUAAGGUACGUGGCUGAUGAUAGAAAUGAGGACUAGGAGGACAGGGGACUCCAACAAAGCAAACCCUGUUGCAGGAAUGAGGAAGUUCCAUGCUUCAGAUGAAAUUCAAGACCACUGCAGAACGUGGUGUGUCACUGCCAUCCUGAGUGAUCACUUGCUGCUCCUACUUUUGAGACCGAGACUCUGCUGUCAUAUUCUUUAGCAAUAGGAAGGGUGAAGACUGGAUUUGAUUGCUGUUCAGAUGAUAAAAACUCAGUUGAUGCCAACACAUUUGAAUGUGCAGUAUAGUCUUAAAAGUCAACCAUUAAUCAUUAAAUCUUUUGCCUCUUAUGAGGUUUAUUACAUGAGUUGAUUUUGAUCUGUUCACCGUGGUGUGGAGUUUUUCUGUUGUUGUGCAAGGUGGGGUCACAGGGCAUGGGACUGGUGAGCAUUUUACUGUUUACUGUAUUUGUCUUUUUAUAAAAAGUAUCCCCCAAAAUGUGAUUAGAAGGCUAGCAAGCCUGGAGAUUUAAUUAUGUACUUUAUAUAAUCUAACUACUUAUUGUAUUUGGACUGCUUGUUUAUUCCUGGAGAGGAAAAUGAAAAUCUGUCCAUUCAGAUUCUUGGGUAACAUCAAGUCAUUGGAAUUUAUCUAAAGCUUAUCAUGAUUUGAUAAAACAUCCAUUGCAUGUAGCUGUCUUAGCCCAGUGUAAAGCACUGAAAUUGUGAUUCUUAAUUAGACUGUUAGUUUCUGAGACAUUUGGAUGGAAAUAAAUGUAUGAAUGUUAAUUCAUGUAUGUAAAUUAGAAAUACUUUUCUAGAUUCUGUGGGCUUUUAUUAAAAAGACUUUCAUGGGAUUUACUUAGGCUAAAGAAUGGCCAAAUAUUAAUAAUAACAAUAAUAGUACUACUAAUAAUAGCUAACUUUAUUGGGCACUUAAUGUGUACCAGGCACUAUUCUAUUUUUUUAAGGAUUUUUAUAACAGCUUUAUGAGAUACACUUUAUCAUGAAAUUCACCUUUUAAAGUGUACCAUUCAGUGGUUUUUAGUAUAUUCACGAAGUUGCACAACCAUCACCACUAUCUAAUUUUAGAACAUUUUCAUUACUUCACAAAGAAACCCGGUAGCCAUUGGCAGUCACUCCUAUUACCUUUUCACCCCAGCCCCUGGCAACCACCAAUCUGCUUCCCGUCUCUACUGGCUUUCCAGGCACUUUUCUUCAGUGCUUUCUGUGCACCUCCCCUAAUCCUCUGUAUACAGUACUACAAUUCACAUUUCACAAAUAGAAAGUUGCAGCACAGAAAGGUUAAGUAAACUGCCCAGGGUCAUACAGUAAAUUGAUUUACAAUAACACAUUAGAUGAGUGCAUAGUAGGACACGAUUUUGAAUUGCAUUAUUGUGCAUUAUUAUUAUGUACAUGAAAUGAGCAUACCCCUUCCCCAGGGUGUGUUUCCUGUUAUUAGUCUUUGCACCCUAGAACUGACUGGAUGUCAGCAACGUUUUUUUUCUGAGCAAUGGAACACCAUAUCAUCAGCAUCUGAGAACACAAGAGCAGUUGUACAUUGGAAGGAGUUAAGUUUGUUGCCCUCCUUGAGCCCCUUUUCUCUCUCUUCCCUUUCCAUCACCACCACCACACACAUACCCCUUUUUUCUCAAAGUCUUAAGAAUCAAACAACUUCUGCCUCCUUUUUAAUUCUCCCAGAGGGAUGGUUAAUGCAUUGAAGUGGAACUUGUCUGUUCAGGUGUUUCUAGUCAAGGGAUGCAUGUGGUUGCUUAUGCUACCAGUUAUAUUCCUAGGCUCUCCAAGAGCAGUAGUACAAGAAUAGAAUGCCUUUCUAUUUGGCGUUAAACUAGGUGGGAGGAAGAAAUGACAGAGUAAAGGUUUUGCCUUGUGAAGUCAGUGUUCCUGCCUAGUAGGAAGUGGCCACACGCUGCUCUCGUUCACUCUGUUCUUUCAGAGCCAUUGUACUCUGUGUCAUCGCUGCUGGUAAUUUCUUGGUCCUUUUCAAGACUCCAUUUUAAUCCUGAUCUUUCCUAUAAAUAAUAAACCUGUGAAAAGAAGAAAUCUGUAAAAUGAUUUGUGAAUGUUAAAUGUGCAAAUAAAAACACUGGAAGAGGAA